GACGAACGCUGGCGGCGUGCUUAACACAUGCAAGUCGAACGGAAAGGCCCUGCUUUUGUGGGGUGCUCGAGUGGCGAACGGGUGAGUAACACGUGAGUAACCUGCCCUUGACUUUGGGAUAACUUCAGGAAACUGGGGCUAAUACCGGAUAGGAGCUCCUGCUGCAUGGUGGGGGUUGGAAAGUUUCGGCGGUUGGGGAUGGACUCGCGGCUUAUCAGCUUGUUGGUGGGGUAGUGGCUUACCAAGCCUUUGACGGGUAGCCGGCCUGAGAGGGUGAACGGCCACAAGGGGACUGAGGUACGGCCCAGACUCGUACGGGAGGCAGCAGUGGGGAAUAUUGCACAAUGGGCGGAAGCCUGAUGCAGCAACGCCGCGUGCGGGAUGACGGCCUUCGGGUUGUGAACCGCUUUCGCCUGUGACGAAGCGUGAGUGACGGUAAUGGGUAAAGAAGCACCGGCUAACUACGUG
Molecule: ribosomal RNA, 468 nt
Filed under: uncultured bacterium
Lineage: Bacteria
Description: partial 16S ribosomal RNA
Rfam family: Bacterial small subunit ribosomal RNA
Source: RNAcentral